Long non-coding RNA from Spea bombifrons (plains spadefoot toad), 996 nucleotides. RefSeq lists it as uncharacterized. The transcript is spliced from 3 exons. NCBI's taxonomy places the organism in Eukaryota, Metazoa, Chordata, Amphibia, Anura, Pelobatidae. The record is from RefSeq and is a predicted model, not a curated record.
GACUGGUCACACAAGAAAAUGCUUAACUUUGGUAUUUGUGUUGAUAAUUCUCAUAUCCCUAAUACUUUGUACGCCGUUACAAGUUGUACCAGAUGCGGAAUAAAGUGCAAUACAGUUGCAGCUAGUUUUGAUACUUGCUAAAAUCUGUCUCUCUUUUAUAUAUCUAUAUAAAUCUAUAUUGAUCUUUCCAAUAUUUCUUACAGGGCGUGCAUAGAAAGUGAUCAAGAAAAUAAGCAAAACAAACAUUUGAAUUCCUGAGUCUGCUAGAAAAUAGCACUUUAUUUCAUAUAACAUCUGUCAAGAUUGAAAAAAAAUGUUGAUAAAGUAAGAUUUUGGUUGCGGUAUGAUCACACCUAAUGACCCUGAUUGAUGACUUGGGCCAUGGAUUUACAAUCUCCAGGCAAGAGAACUUAAUUAUUUAUGAGUGUCUUUUUCUUUCAUUCUUAGAAUUUUGUUAGUCUUGCUCUUUGCUGAAUUUGUUUAGUUUACUUUUAAUUGAAAGGUGGUGAACAGAAGACAUACAUUAAUAUUCAACAAGUACACUUAACUAAGAAAAUUUAUUUUUACAAGGAUUUUUGUUAGGCUCAUAAGACCUUCACAUUUUCUUCCUCUUUGUCAUAAGAAUGUAUUUAAUUGCAUAAUUUAUUAUUUUAUUAUAUUCAUUAUUAUUUAUUAUGCUGCAAAAUUCCAUAUAUCAAAUACUAUUUCCAAUCAUUCGAAUGAUGGCAUACUGUACCCCAAAUACGUUUUAAUAUGUGCCCAAAAACAUUAAACCAUUAUACUAUAUUUAUGUUAAACAAUCAAGAACGAUACCUCUUUUAAAUAAAGCAUUUGUUGAUUUAGAUGAAGAGGGAAACAAAACAUAGGCAUUGUUGCCCUAUUGAAAGUACCUCUGAUUUUGUAUUUUGGUUUAAAUGUUAAUUGCUUCCCGUAUUAGCCAAAGAAAUAUUCUUAAAUUGAGAUUUAAACGGAUUAGGUUUAUCUAUUGAAAAAAAA